GGGUUUAAAGCGUGCGUAGGUGGUUGAAUAAGUUAUCUGUGAAAUUCCCGGGCUCAACCUGGGACGGUCAGGUAAGACUGUUUGACUCGAGUAUGGGAGAGGGUAGUGGAAUUUCCGGUGUAGCGGUGAAAUGCGUAGAGAUCGGAAGGAACACCGGUGGCGAAGGCGGCUACCUGGCCUAAUACUGACACUGAGGCACGAAAGCGUGGGGAGCAAACAGGAUUAGAUACCCUGGUAGUCCACGCUGUAAACGAUGUCAACUAGCUGUUGGUUAUAUAAAUAUAAUUAGUGGCGCAGCUAACGCGAUAAGUUGACCGCCUGGGGAGUACGGUCGCAAGAUUAAAACU
Molecule: ribosomal RNA, 347 nt
Filed under: uncultured bacterium
Lineage: Bacteria
Description: bacterial SSU rRNA
Rfam family: Bacterial small subunit ribosomal RNA
Source: RNAcentral